AUGCUUUUCAUCGUUGUCUGGAUGGAGGUGCAAACUAACUUCGAUGAUAUCAUUUUUGAAGACUGUGGUUCUCAUUAUGAUAGGCUUCUUGAGGAGGAUGGAAAUAGUGAUGCCGUGUGCAAUCUGGAUGUCCUAAAGAGUCAAUUCAAUGUGACAGCAAUAUCUCUUAAAAGAUGUAUUAAGAAUUUGUGGAUUCACCUCCCUGGUAGGUGCUUUUCACAUGAUAGUAUCAGCAAUAUAUCCUCAUUGUUUAACAUGCUAGAGAAAUUCGAUGCCCUCCUGUGUGAUAUUGAUUUAACUAGCAAGAGCUUAAAAAGGGGCUUUGGUGGUCUCUCAAGUGAAAACUCAGCUUGUGUGUAG
Molecule: ribosomal RNA, 360 nt
Filed under: Triticum aestivum (bread wheat)
Lineage: Eukaryota; Viridiplantae; Streptophyta; Magnoliopsida; Poales; Poaceae
Description: partial small subunit ribosomal RNA
Source: RNAcentral